AUCAAGUUAUUAAGUGCAUACGGUGAAUGCCUUGGCAUUAGAAGCCGAAGAAGGACGUAGAAGCCUGCGAUAAGCCUCGGGGAGUCGGCAAUCAGACUUUGAUCCGGGGAUUUCCGAAUGAGGAAACUCAGCUGGGGGAAAGCCCAGUUAUCCGCGCAUGAACACAUAGUGCGAUGGAAGGGAACGUGGGGAAGUGAAACAUCUCAGUACCCAUAGGAACAGAAAACAAUAGUUAUUCCGUUAGUAGUGGCGAGCGAAAGCGGAACAGGCUAAACCACAUCAAUGUGAUAGUCGGCGGACGUUGUUGGUGUGGGGUCGUGGGACGUUUAGUGAUUACUGCCGUAAUCACAGUGAGUAAAAAAUGUUUUUUGUAGUCGAAGACCAUGCGAAAGGGUCAGCAAAGAAGGUAAAACUCCUGUAGACGAAACAACUAACACUCACAAGCAUCAUCCCAAGUAGUACGGGACUCGUGUAAUCCUGUGCGAAUCUGUCGAGACCACUCGAUAAGCCUAAAUACUCUCUAAUGACCGAUAGUGAACAAGUACCGUGAGGGAAAGGUGAAAAGAACCCCGGGAGGGGAGUGAAAUAGAACCUGAAACCGUGUGCAUACAAGCCGUGGGAGCGUCUUUAGUCUUCGGACUAUCCGUGACCGCGUGCCUUUUGAAGAAUGAGUCUACGAGUUAGUAGCACGUGGCGAGGUUAACCAGUGAUGGGAAACCGUAGCGAAAGCAAGUCCCAAUAGGGCGAAUUAGUCGCGUGCUCUAGACCCGAAGCGGGAUGAUCUAGCCAUGAGCAGGUUGAAGCGUGGGUAAGACCGCGUGGAGGACCGAACCCACUGCCGUUGAAAAGGUAGGGGAUGACUUGUGGUUAGGGGUGAAAGGCCAAUCAAAUUCCGUUAUAGCUGGUUCUCUCCGAAAUGCAUUUAGGUGCAGCGUCACGUGUUUCUUCUCGGAGGUAAAGCACUGGAUGGGCUAGGGGCCUAACAAGGUUACUGAACUCAACCAAACUCUGAAUGCCGAGAAGUUAGAACGUGGCAGUGAGACUGUGGGGGAUAAGCUUCAUAGUCAAAAGGGAAACAGCCCAGAUCAUCAGCUAAGGCCCCAAAGCGUGUACUAAGUGGGAAAGGAUGUGGAGUUGCAUAGACAACCAGGAUGUUGGCUUAGAAGCAGCCACCAUUAAAAGAGUGCGUAAUAGCUCACUGGUCAAGUGAUUCCGCGCCGACAAUGUAGCGGGGCUCAAUUACACCGCCGAAGCUGUGGCAUGAACGCAAUAUCUUGGCCGCAAGGUCCAGGAGCGUUGAUGGGUAGGAGAGCGUUGUGUGGCGAGAGAAGCGGCGGAGUAAUCCAGCCGUGGAUGCCACACAAGUGAGAAUGUAGACAUGAGUAGCGAAAGACGGGCGAGAAACCCGUCCACCGAAUGACCAAGGGUUCCAGGGUCAAGCUAAUCUUCCCUGGGUAAGUCGGGACCUAAGGCGAGGCCGACAGGCGUAGUCGAUGGACAACGGAUUGAUAUUUCCGUACCGGCGUUAUUACGACAAUGAUGAAUAUAGAAAUGCUAAGAGGUUGAAGCUGUUGCCUUCGGGUAAUAGUGGAAAGUUCGAACCUAACUAUUAGUAGUCCAGCAAAGGUGUGACGCAGGAAGGUAGUUCAGCCCAGGCGAUGGUUGUCCUGGGGUAAGGCCGUAGGAAGAAAUGUAGGCAAAUCCGCAUUUCAUUUUCUGAGAGCUGAUGCCGAGCCAUUAUGGCGAAGUGAAUAAUCCUAUGCUGCCAAGAAAAACAUCUAGCGAGUAAUAAAGCCGCCCGUACCCCAAACCGACACAGGUGGUCAGUUAGAGAAUACCAAGGUGAUCGAGAGAACUGAGGUUAAGGAACUCGGCAAAUUACCCCCGUAACUUCGGGAUAAGGGGGACCAUUUUGCGUGUAGAGAUUAACUUUUGAAGCGUAGAGUGGUGGCACAAACCAGGCCCUAGCGACUGUUUACCAAAAACACAGGUCCGUGCUAAGUCGCAAGACGAUGUAUACGGACUGACGCCUGCCCGGUGCUGGAACGUUAAGGGGAUCGGUUAGCGAGUAAUCGCGAAGCUGAGAACUUAAGCGCCAGUAAACGGCGGUGGUAACUAUAACCAUCCUAAGGUAGCGAAAUUCCUUGUCGGGUAAGUUCCGACCUGCACGAAUGGCGUAACGACUUGGGCACUGUCUCAACCUCAGACUCGGCGAAAUUGCAUUACGAGUAAAGAUGCUCGUUACGCGCGGCAGGACGGAAAGACCCCGGGACCUUUACUACAACUUGGUAUUGGUGGUCGAAUUGAUUUGUGUAGGAUAGGUGGGAGACUGUGAAGCUGGAACGCCAGUUUUGGUGGAGUCGUUGUUGAAAUACCACUCUUAUUAGUUUGGCUGUCUAACUUCGAACCGUAAUCCGGUUUAAGGACAGUGCCUGGUGGGUAGUUUAACUGGGGCGGUUGCCUCCUAAAGAGUAACGGAGGCGCCCAAAGGUUCCCUCAGCCUGGUUGGCAAUCAGGUGUUGAGUGUAAUUGCACAAGGGAGCUUGACUGCGAGACCGACGGGUCGAGCAGGGACGAAAGUCGGGAAUAGUGAUCCGGCGUCGGAUUGUGGAAUCGGCGUCGCUCAACGGAUAAAAGGUACCCCGGGGAUAACAGGCUGAUCUUCCCCAAGAGUCCAUAUCGACGGGAAGGUUUGGCACCUCGAUGUCGGCUCGUCGCAUCCUGGGGCUGGAGCUGGUCCCAAGGGUUGGGCUGUUCGCCCAUUAAAGCGGCACGCGAGCUGGGUUCAGAACGUCGUGAGACAGUUCGGUCCCUAUCCGCCGUGCGCGUAAGAGUCUUGAGAAGGGCUGUCCCUAGUACGAGAGGACCGGGACGGACGAACCUCUGGUGUGCCAGUUGUUCCGCCAGGAGCACGGCUGGUUGGCUACGUUCGGAAAUGAUAACCGCUGAAAGCAUCUAAGCGGGAAACAUGCUUCAAGAUGAGGACUCUCACUGAUUUUCAGGUAAGACCCCUAGCUAGACGACUAGGUUGAUAGGCCGGAUGUGGAAGUGCGGUAACGCAUGGAGCUGACCGGUACUAAUAGGUCGAGGACUUGAUUCU
RNAcentral lists this ribosomal RNA (3100 nucleotides) under Actinomycetota bacterium. RNAcentral describes it as "Actinobacteria bacterium (freshwater metagenome) 23S ribosomal RNA". It matches the Rfam family "Bacterial large subunit ribosomal RNA". The record is from RNAcentral. Lineage: Bacteria; Bacillati; Actinomycetota.